RNAcentral lists this transfer RNA (59 nucleotides) under Aeromonas caviae. RNAcentral describes it as "tRNA-Trp". It matches the Rfam family "tRNA", at positions 9 to 63 of the family's 71-position model. From Rfam's summary of the family: Transfer RNA (tRNA) molecules are approximately 80 nucleotides in length. Their secondary structure includes four short double-helical elements and three loops (D, anti-codon, and T loops). Lineage: Bacteria; Pseudomonadati; Pseudomonadota; Gammaproteobacteria; Aeromonadales; Aeromonadaceae. The record is from RNAcentral.
AGUUCCAAUUGGUAGAACAGCGGUCUCCAAAACCGAUGGUUGCGGGUUCGAGUCCUGCC